This 9127-nucleotide long non-coding RNA is filed under the name Zea mays. Its description in RNAcentral is "long non-coding RNA (ZMAY_LNC003009)". The record is from RNAcentral. Lineage: Eukaryota; Viridiplantae; Streptophyta; Magnoliopsida; Poales; Poaceae.
CCCUCUCCCUCUCCUUCUUCCCCAAGAGCUGCAGCCACCCCCACACAAAACCCUAGCCGCCCCCAUUCAACCCCCCUCUCCAAGGUGCAGCCCUCCCGCUGGUUCUCCGUCGCGUGGCUGCGAGCUCUCAAUUGAAGUUUGGAGGGAGGAAGAAGGAAGGAGGAAGGGAAGAACCCAAGGUGAAUUUGUGAUUAUCUUUUGUUGUUUAUGUGCUGCAAUCAAAUUGAUUAUGUGUUUAUCUAUGCGAAUCGGUAGAGGUGCUGUCCAGAAAUCUUGUGGGUGGGCGAACAGCAGUAAUUCUAGUGAUUUCUGGGAAUUUUGGUGGGUUAAUUAGUGGGAAUCAGUGGGAGAAUCAUGUAGAACUUUGUCAUACCUUUCCAACGAGUACUUAUGCGCUCGAUUCGGAGUUAUAUUUUAGGAGAUAUCGUUGUUUGAAUCCGGGUAUGUUGCUGUAAAAAAACAGAUUUUCAGGUGGGCGAACAACAAUAGUAUUAGCAGUUUCUGGGGAUUUUUCGUGGGUAAUUAGUGACAAUCAGUAUGAGAAUCAUGUAGAGCUUUGUCUUACCUUUCCAAUGAGUACUUAUGCGCUUGAUUCGGAAUUAUAUUUUAAAAGAUAUCUCUGUUUGAAUCCGGGUAUGUUGCUGCCCAAAAAAAAUAACAGAUUGCAGGGUUCAUCUUGUGGACUGUUUUGGGCUAAUUAGAUGUUGGAAUUUAAUUAUAAAUUAUAUACAAAACUUGUGGGGAAUUUUAUGUAGAUGCCUCUGGAGUUCUUUCUUGUUACCACUGCUGUCAUAAUUUUAAAGUUAUGAAAUUGUUAAGCAGCGCCACUGCAGUUUGGUGGGUGUGGGGAGAGUUGUUACCCGCGGCGGGGUUUGAAAUUGUGCGUAGGUGCGGCGUCGUUUAUGAGCAUUGUUAUGUGAAAUUGAUGCACUAAGUUGUGUGUCAAAAACAGGUGGUGGACUUCCGGAUCGUACUUAGGGAUUUGUCCAAACUUCCUGUGAAGGCAAGUAAAGUAGUGAUGGUUAUUCCGUCAGUCGAUUAAAGUGUCUUAUACUUGAUUAUGUUUGUGCUAUUUGUGUUCGUAUUCAUAUUCCUAAUUGGGUACCAUCGUUUGAAGACAUUCAUGUUUUAUGGUUUACAUAUGUUGAGGUUGUGGCUUGAUCAUGUUACACAUGUUGUUUACUAUUUGGAAUGAGUGGAAGUAUAUGUUCGGCACAUUUUAUUUGGGAAGGACUCAUGUUGUUGACAUGCAUAAUACAUUCAUCAUCCAUUGCAUGGAAGUUCCGCCGCAAUCUUAUGGUCCGACCGAUCCGGUACAAUGAGCAUCAUAUGUUGCCUAUGAUGCAGCUUCAUAUCCUUAGAGGUAUGAAGGCAGAAGUCAUUACUGCAUCUGUAGCCAUGUGCAUUCAUGGGUGAAGUGUGGAACCUAUUAUGUGGAUGUGGAUAGUGUAGAUCUUUACCUUGCGAUUCAUCUUGGAACUAAGUAAUUGGUUACUUGUUUACUUGCUGCAAAUUACUAUUCAAGAAGGAAGUUGUGAACUACGUGGUUGUUUAAGCACGGUUUGUUUACAUUGUCCAAUUGUUGUUUGCCCUUUUUACUUGCUGAGAUGUGUCAUCUCACUCUUGCAUUGUCUGAUGCAGGCACAUGAUCUUUGCUUUGGUAAAAGAAGGGAUGUAGCAGCACGACCACUACACCUUUAAAUAAAGGAACCACUGCUUAAUAAUGAUGUUAAACAGGGAGGGUCUAGUCUGAGGGAUUAAUAUGUUCUAGCCUUUCAUGGUAGUUGAACAGAUUUUGGGGUGGGCUGAGUUACCUAUCUUUUUAUUUGGUCAUGAAUGUUCAUUACUACCUUUGCAUUUCGAUUAUACUAUGUGAAUUAUCUUUCUUUUAUAUUAUGUAUAAACUUUAUGUUCCCCUCGUUAUGCUUCUUUCAAGGGAGGUGCUGCCGGAUUUUGCAAUACUUUCUUUCUCUAGUUCUUUUCUUAUGUUGUAUAAGUUUUGUGGGAAGGGUAUUUGGUAACAUUUAUUGUGUGGGAGCUUUGGGGUGUUACAGUUGGUAUCAAAGGGUAUAGGCUGUAGGUCCUAGCAAGUGGAAUAAUAAUAAAUUGACACACUGCACAUGUAGGAUGGGUUUCCUGCCUUACUAUUGAUAUCUUAUGUUAUUGUCAGUGCUGGAUUAACAUUGUUUGAAGAAGUGCUAUGCCAACCUUAUUUACUUACUCCUGUGGCUGCAGUUAUGCCGCCUCGUAGGGCUCUUGGUAGCCCGCAAGCCCCUAGUGGGGAUUCUAUGAGUCCGGCAGCAAUGUUAGCCACGAUGCAGGCCAUGCAGCAGGAGUUGGCCAUUCUGAGGCAGGCUAUUCCUGUUGCUCCUGCAGGUGCUGCUCAGGGUGCUGGUGGUGGAGGAGUGCCCAGGGGCGCUGUUCCCGUGGGUGCUGCUUCAGGUGGUGGGGCUGAGGUGCCUCUUCCUGUUAGUGGUCUUUCUCUGAUGCAGUGGAUGGGCAUGAAGUUGGACAGUUUUGAUGGCAGUGGUACUCCGAUCGAGGCGACAGAUUGGCUAACUUACGUGGAGGAUAAGAUGAAUGUCUUCGAGAUUGUGUAUGGGGAUCAUGUUCGCUUUGGCACACAGCUGCUGAAGGGAGAGGCUCAGAUUUGGUGGAGAGGCGUGCAGGCAGCUCACUCCUCUUCACCAGGAGUCCUGUCCUGGGAUGUUUUCAUCAGGAAGUUUAAGAGGAGGUUCUACCCGGUCACCUUCCUGGAGAAAAUGAAGAUUGAUCUACAGUCCUACAAGCAAGAGAAGUCCGUCACAGAGUAUGAAGUGGGCUUCAACAAGAUGGUCCGCUUUGUUCCUCAUGUGGCUUACAGUGAGUUGGAGAAGGCGAGCCAGUUUCGUCAGGGCCUGAAACCUUCUAUCAGGCAUGCCCUGGGAGCCUUUCUGUUGGUGGAUUUCCGUACUACAAUGGAGUAGGCAUUGGGUGUGGAGAUGCAACACCAGUACACCAUGGAGUCACAGAAGUCUUCGGGUGUUGAUCAGCCUCGUGGCUAGGACGCGAGGACUGGAGGUCUAGCCCACAAGAGGGGCAAGUCUCAGCACCAGUACCACCACCCCUACCGUGGCAAACCCUCUAAAUCGGGUACUUCGGGAGGAAGUACUCAGAGGUUUCGGGCUAUCCCUAAGCCCGGGCUAGGGCUGGUGUGUUUUCGUUGUGGUGAUGCGCAUCGCCGUGCAGAGUGCCAGUGGAGUGGCAGGUGUUCUAUCUGCAGUCAAGACCAUAAGGAUGUGGUGUGUAGGAGGAAUCCCAAUGGGAAGCUCAGAUGGGAGCCAGUGACUUCCUCCUCUUCUCAGGGCACUGUCAACAUGAUGUCAAGCGCUGAGCAGCAAUUUUCAGUUCCACUUCCUCCGCAACAGUUUUAUGUGCCUUGGACUUCUUAGUUUGUGCCGAUGCAGGGUUUUCCUCAGUAUCUGGCUGCGCCUACUCCUGCACCGACUACUCCUAUGCCGUCUCAGUUUGGAGCUCUGCGUGUGCCUCACCCGUCGGCUCAGGCGGGUUCUUCUGUUAAUUUCACUCCGGGAGCUUCCUCUUCUGCGGGUAUUUCCGGAGCUUAUGUGCUACUCGCUGCGGAUGGCAGAGAGCAAGGAGAUGUGGUGACAGGUACGAUUUCAGUUGAUUCGUUUGUGGCCCAUGCUCUUUUUGACUCUAGCGCUAGCUAUUCGUUUGUUUUGGAGAAUUUUGUGUUGCGGGCUGGUCUUUUGGUGCAGAGGUUGGGACACCCAAUUUUGGUUAGUUCUGCUAAUGGCUCCAUUAGUAGCUGUUCAGUUUGUAAGGGGUGUUCCGUCAUCCUUGCUGAUGAGGUCUUUUCGACCAAUCUUGUUGUGAUUUCCUUGGGGGCUUUCGAUGUUAUCUUGGGUAUGGAUUGGUUAUCUCAAUAUCGCGCAGUUAUAUCCUGUUUUUGGAAGACAGUGUUAUUGCAGGCGCCGUCGAGUAGGGAGGUGGUAUUCUUGGGAAGUUCCCCAAAGUUCACGUUAUCCUUGUUGGCGCAAUUGCUUCCGGAUCGCCGGUCAAGGAAGUCGGGAAUCUUUUUCUCCAUGGUGGUGGAGGGUGAGGUUGCCUUGCGGGUGCAGGACAUCCGGGUGGUGUGUGACUUUGCCGACAUGUUUCCGGCAGAGCUUCCAGGCGUUCCUUCGGAGCGUGAUGUAGCUUUUGAAAUCAAGCUGAUUCCGGGUACGCAGCCUAUUCAUAAGGCACCGUAUCGGAUGGCUCCAAAGGUGCAGGUUGAAUUGAAGCGGCAAUUGGAUGAUCUGCUGGCUAAGGGUUUCAUUAGGCCUAGCAAGUCGCCAUGGGCUUCCCCAGUAUUGUUUGUUGAGAAGAAAGAUAAAAGCAAGAGGCUAUGUGUGGAUUAUCGUGCUUUGAAUCAAGUGACAAUCAAGAAUAAAUAUCCGCUACCCCGUAUUGAGGUUCUGUUUGAGCAGUUGAGGGGUGCCCAGGUGUUCUCCAAAAUUGAUUUGAACUCUGGUUAUCAUCAGUUGAGGAUUCAUGAGGAGGAUAUUGAGAAGACAACCUUUUGCACCAGGUAUGGGCAUUACGAGUUCAUAGUCAUGUCUUUUGGCUUAACUAAUUCCCCUGCUGCUUUUAUGGAAUCAAUGAAUAGGAUGUUACAUGAGUUCUUGGACGACUUUGUGGUCAUGUUCCUGGAUGAUAUCCUUAUUUAUUCAAAGACCGAGGAAGAGCAUGAGCGACAUCUCUGUCUCGUUCUGAGUGCUCUUAGGAAGAAUCAAUUUUAUGGCAAAUUGAAGAAGUGCGCCUUUUGGCUGUCCGAGGUGGCUUUCCUGGGGCAUGUGAUUAGUCAGCAGGGCAUUGCGGUUGAUCCCAAGAAUGUCGCGGUUGUGGUGGAGUGGAAGAGACCCUCUAGUGUCUCUGAAAUCCGAAGCUUCUUGGGGCUCGCCGGAUAUUAUUGACGCUUCGUACCAAAUUUUUCCAGCAUUGCUAAGCCUUUGACUAGACUUUUGGAGAAGGGUGUUCUGUUCGUCUGGUCCAGCGAUUGCGAGGUCAGCUAUCAGACAUUGAAGAACAAGUUGGUGAGCGCCCCUAUCCUAGCUUUGCCUGAGAGUGGUAAGCGUUUCACAGUUUUUACGGAUGCUUCUCGAAUUGGUCUUGGCUGUGUGUUGAUGCAGGAAGGCAGAGUGAUCGCUGAUGGCUCAAGGCAGUUGAGGAAGCAUGAAGGGAAUAUCUAACUCAUGAUCUUGAAUUGGCCGCGGUGGUCUUUGCUCUAAAAUCAUGGAGGCAUUAUCUCUAUGGCGAGUCUUGUGACAUUUACACUGAUCAUAAAAAUCUCAAGUACAUUUUCACUCAGGAGCUGAAUUUGAGGUAGCGUCGAUGGCUCGAAUUGAUUAAAGAUUAUGAUUUGUCCAUUCAUUAUGACCCUGGGAAGGCAAAUGUGGUGGCUGAUGCCCUUAGCAGGUCCGGGGUUCCAAAAGUGACCUUGCCUUUGAUCGCUGAUCUAGACCGUUUGGGGAUCGCUUUGUGCUAUGUCGGCACCGCUAGUGAGGAGACUCGGAUGCUUAUUCAAUCCUCCCUCAUGGAGAGAGUGCGUGCGCUCAGCAGCAGGAUCAUCUAUUGCAGGAAGCUCAAAAGAGGGUUGGUGAUGGUAAACCCCGGGAGUUCACCAUUGAUGAGAAUGAUUUGGUUCGUUUCAGGGGCCGUCUUUGUGUGCCUCAAAAAUCAGAGGUGAGGAUGGAUAUCUUGAGAGAAGAUCAUAAAACGCCUUACACCGUUCACCCUGGUGAAACCAAAAUGUACCGAGAUUUGAAGCAAAACUUCUGGUGGAAGCGGAUGAAGGUCGACGUUUCUAAGUAUGUGGCUGCCUGUGAAGUAUGUCAGCGCGUGAAGGCCAAGCAUAAGCGGCCUGCAGGUUUACUGAAGCCAUUGGAAAUUCCGCAGUGGAAAUGGGAGCACAUCACCAUGGAUUUUGUGGUGGGUUUACCUCGUUCUCCUUGGGGCAGGGAUGCUAUAUGGGUGGUAGUGGAUCGCUUGACUAAGUCUGCGCAUUUUAUUCCCAUGAAGACCACAAAUUCAGCUUCAAAAUUGGUUCCCUUGUAUAUGAAGGAAGUAGUCAGGCUUCACAGGGUACCUAAGUCCAUUGUUUCUGAUCAAGACUCUAAAUUUGUAUCCAAAUUCUAAGAGAGUCUUCACAGUGCAUUGGGCACCAAGUUUUCACUUAGUGUCGCUUUUCACCCUUAGACUAAUGGUCAGUAGGAGCAAACGAUCCAAACCUUGGAAGAUAUGUUGCGUGCUUGUGUUCUGUCAUGGAAGGGUAGUUGGGAGGAUCAUCUUCCAUUGGCAGAGUUUGCUUAUAACAAUAGCUACCAGGCUAGCAUCAAGAUGGCACCAUUUGAGGCUUUAUAUGGCAGGCGGUGUAUCUCCCCUCUGUGCUGGGAGACUUUGGGAGAGAGAUCCCUGGUUGGUCCUGAUUGGGUUCAGCAGACUUCUGAGAAGGUUCGGGAAAUUCGUCAGAAUAUUUUGGCCGCUCAGAGCCGUCAGAAGAGUUAUGCUGAUGUGAGGAGGCGAGAUUUGGAAUUUGUAGUGGGUGACUAAGUCCUUCUCAGGGUAUCACCUACUAAAGGAGUUGUUCGGUUCGGUGUCUCCGGAAAUCUUAGCCCGAGAUACAUUGGACCAUUCACUAUCUUUGCCCAGGUGGGCAACUUGGCAUAUCGCUUGCAAUUGCCGGAUUCCAUGGCAGGGUUGCACCUGGUUUUUCAUGUCUCUAUGUUGAGGAAGUUCUUGCGGGAUCCGAACCAUCAGAUCAAGAUGGAACCAAUUGCUGUGCAGUAGGAUCUGACUUUAGAGUGUCGUCCGGUGCAUAUCUUGGAGUCCUCGGAGCGUGUUUUGAGGAAGAGAUCAAUCAAGUAUGUCAAGGUCUUGUGGACUAAUCAGUCUGAGCGCGAGGCUACUUAGGAGCUUGAGGAGCUGACGCGGCAGAAGUAUCCGGAACUUUUCGCUGUGGGUGAGUAUUGUUGAUUCAUUAAUCUUUUCUUUUGUCGUUCCGAUUGAAGCGUCAGAAUUCGAGGUCGAAUUCUUUUUAAGGGGGGUAGAGUGUGAUACCCAGUUUGCAAAGAAGAGAAGUUGGAGGUCAUUUUUGCUUUGUUUUCUUUUGUUGUUUCUCUUUCGAGUGGUGCGUAUUUGGGGUUUGGAAUUUUUGGGAAGCAUUCACCAGUAAAAUAGUAGAAUGAGGUUUAGUCUCAUGCGCUGGGGUCGGAAACUGACGUGUGAGCGAGUUGGGCCGUGGAUCUCGAUCCGGCCCACUAGCCUCCCCCUAACCCUAGCCGCCCCCCUUUUUAUCCCCUUGGAGUGCAGCCCCCUUCUCCCAUUUGCUUGGCCGCCCCCUCUCCCUCUCCUUCUUCCCCAAGAGCUGCAGCCACCCCCACACAAAACCCUAGCCGCCCACAUUCCCCCCCUCUCCAAGGUGCAGCCCUCCCGCUGGUUCUCCGUCGCGUGGCUGCGAGCUCUUAAUUGGAGUUUGGAGGGAGGAAGAAGAAAGGAGGAAGGGAAGAACCCAAGGUGAAUUUAUGAUUAUCUUUUGUUGUUUAUGUGCUGCAAUCAAAUUGAUUAUGUGUUUAUCUAUGUGAAUCGGUAGAGGUGCUGUCCAGAAAUCUUGUGGGUGGGCGAACAACAGUAGUUCUAGUGAUUUCUGGGAAUUUUCGUGGGUUAAUUAGUGAAAAUAAGUGGGAGAAUCAUGUAGAGCUUUGUCAUACCUUUCCAACGAGUACUUAUGCAAUUCGGAGUUAUAUUUAAGGAGAUAUCGUUGUUUGAAUCCGGGUAUGUUGCUGUAAAAAAAACAGAUUUUCAGGUGAGCGAACAACAGUAGUAUUAGCAGUUUCUGGGGAUUUUUCGUGGGUAAUUAGUGAUAAUCAGUAUGCGAAUCAUGUAGAGCGUUGUCUUACCUUUCCAAUGAGUACUUAUGCGCUCGAUUCGGAAUUAUAUUUUAAAAGAUAUCGCUAUUUGAAUCCGGGUAUGUUGCUGCCCAAAAAAAUAACAGAUUGCAGGGUUCAUCUUGUGGACUGUUUUGGGCUAAUUAGAUGUUGGAAUUUAAUUAUAAAUUGUAUGCAAAACUUGUGGGGAAUUUUAUGUAGAUGCCUCUGGAGUUCUUGCUUGUUACCACUGCUGUCAUAAUUUUAAAGUUAUGAAAUUGUUAAGCAGCGCCAUUGCAGUUUGAUGGGUGUGGGGAGAGUUGUUACCCGCGGCGGGGUUUGAAAUUGUGCGUAGGUGCGGCGUCGUUUAUGAGCAUUGUUAUGUGAAAUUGAUGCACUAAGUUGUGUGUCAAAAACAGGUGGUGGUCUUCCAGAUCGUACUUAGGGAUUUGUCCAAACUUCCGAUGAAGGCAAGUAAAGUAGUGAUGGUUAUUCCGUCAGUCGAUUAAAGUGUUUUAUACUUGAUUAUGUUUGUGCUAUUUGUGUUUGUAUUCAUAUUCCUAAUUGGGUACCAUCGUUUGAAGAUAUUCAUGUUUUAUGGUUUACAUAUGUUGAGGUUGUGGCUUGAUCAUGUUACCCAUGUUGUUUACUAUUUGGAAUGGGUGGAAGUAUAUGUUUGACACAUUUUAUUUGGGAAGGACUCAUGUUGUUGACAUGCAUAAUGCAUUCAUCAUCCAUUGCAUGGAAGUUUCGUUGCGAUCUUAUGGUCCGACCGUACUGGUACAAUGAGCAUCAUAUGUUGCCUGAGAAAGGGUAUGAUGCAGCUUCAUAUCCUUAUAUGUAUGAAGGCAGAAGUCAUUACUGCAUCUGUAGCCAUGUGCAUUCAUGGGUGAAGUGUGGAACCUAUUACGUCGAUGUGGAUAGUGUAGAUCUUUACCUUGCGAUUCAUCUUGGAACUAAGUAAUUGGUUACUUGUUUACUUGCUGCAAAUUACUAUUCAAGAAGAAAGUUGUGAACUACGUGGUUGUUUAAGCACGGUUUGUUUACAUUGUCCAGUUGUUGUUUGCCCUUUUUACUUGCUGAGAUGUGUCAUCUCACUCUUGCAUUGUCUGAUGCAGGCACAUGAUCUUUGCUUUGGGAAAAGAAGGGAUGUAGCAGCACGACCACUACACCUUUAAAUAAAGGAACCACUGCUUAAUAAUGAUGUUAAACAGGGAGGGUCU